Molecule: small RNA, 257 nt
Filed under: Oryza sativa Japonica Group (Japanese rice)
Lineage: Eukaryota; Viridiplantae; Streptophyta; Magnoliopsida; Poales; Poaceae
Description: sRNA Os12g0594900
Source: RNAcentral
GGUAGGCGGCUGGAGGCGGGCAGAAAAGAGGAAUUUGUUGGGAAUGGAGGAAAUCCUAUCAAUGUGACUUGUGCUAGUUUCGUCAAAAUUCUAUCGAAAUGCUAUUGAAAUGCUGUCGAAAUUUUAUUCAAAAUUUGGUCAGAUUUUGUAAGUGUAUAGUAUUUGUGAUUUUUUUGGUGAAAAUACAAAAACAUCACAACAUAUGCUCAUAUUUGAAUUACUUACAAGCUGAAUUUACAAAAUAAGGGCAAAAUCAC